This 445-nucleotide ribosomal RNA is filed under the name Canthon sp. BMNH670496. RNAcentral describes it as "partial 16S ribosomal RNA". The record is from RNAcentral. Lineage: Eukaryota; Metazoa; Arthropoda; Insecta; Coleoptera; Scarabaeidae.
GUCUUUUUGAUUAUAAUUUAAAGUCUGACCUGCCCUAUGAAUAUAAAAGUUUAAAUGGCUGCGGUAUUUUGACCGUACAAAGGUAGCAUAAUAAUUAGUUUUUUAAUUGGGAACUGGUAUGAAAGGUCGAACGAGAAAAAAACUGUCUCAAUUUAAUUUUAAUUAGAAUUUUAUUUUUAAGUAAAAAAGCUUAAAUAAUUUUAAAAGACGAGAAGACCCUAUAGAGUUUUAUAAAAAUUUAAUUAUUUAAAAAUUAAAGAAUUUAAAGUUUAUUUAUUUAAGUUUUUAUUUAAUUGGGGCGAUUAAAAAAUUUAAAGAACUUUUUUUAAAUAAUAACAUUGAUUUAUGAUUAAGUGAUCCAUUUAUUAUGAUUAUAAGAUUAAAUUACCUUAGGGAUAACAGCGUAAUUUUUUUUGAGAGUUCUUAUCGAAAAAAAAGUUUGCGA